UGUUUAAAUCUAAAUGCAAAGUAACAUAUGGCCUGGAUGAAAAUGAUAACUACUCAAUGUAAUAUUAUCACGUGCUAUUCGCCCUUUAUUGUUUUCACUAAAAACUUCGACGAAAUAAACACGGAAAAUUUCUCAAGGAGUCAUUUGUCAAUAUUGCUGGAUCGAAAUCAAUCAAAAAAUUUUUUUUUUGCGGAAAAAUCACGUCUCGUCUCAAUUGCCAUCUGAAGUAUAAUAGGUAUACUAAAAAUACCUAAAAGCCUGAGGCUAAAUUAAUCACGGUGACAUCAAAUACUGCAUCACUCAGGUAUUUGGGUUUAAAGCAACUAACUAGAUGUAAAUCUUUUCUUCCAUUGCGUCAAGAGCAGUAGCAGUUUUCAUGGGAGUACGUGGGCUCACUUAAAAACUUUAAGAACAAAUAUUGUUACAUACGACUUCGUCUGCUCUCAGUGGGCAGUUUUGAGGUUGCUUUAGGCGGAAACGCCUAACAAAUGGCUCCAACGCCGCCCCAGCUCUCAUCACGCCAUCAACCGCCCACAGAAGAAAGAUAUACACGCUAUCCGCGUACUCGUUGGUUAAAGAGCUUACAAUGACGCAUUCAAGGAACUGCAGGGUAUGAUUUGUGUUAGAUAAACAAGUGAUGUCCUAAUCGCUCUGACGUAUUAAAAAAUACUCCAGCAUAAUUUUUGGCCCAAAGGUCGAUCAGGUUCAUUUGUUGUUUUCCUUUUAUUAAUUCAUUGACGAGAAAAUUGGGUCAUAAACAAGACAAACCGUGUUUAUAACAUUUUUGUAAAAGGGACGCAUAGUUAACAGGCCUCGAUCCCUUUCAUUAACUAUUGCGGUCAACAAAAAUUACCAAGAAGAUUUCAACGUUGUGGUCGGUUAUUAAUGGACUCCAACAGAGCAGCUGCUGUUCAAUGGAGGUUCAACAGUAUAAAGCAGGUUGGUGACAUAAUACAUGAUUGCAUGAUAACACUGUGUAUCGAGACGUCAGUUACGACUGCUUCAUUCCUGUAGCCCCCCCCCCCCCCC
This is a long non-coding RNA of Pocillopora damicornis (cauliflower coral), 1029 nucleotides long. The record is from RefSeq and is a predicted model, not a curated record. NCBI's taxonomy places the organism in Eukaryota, Metazoa, Cnidaria, Anthozoa, Scleractinia, Pocilloporidae.